This 1017-nucleotide long non-coding RNA is filed under the name Monodelphis domestica (gray short-tailed opossum). RNAcentral's name for it is "lncRNA (ENSMODG00000044638.1)". Lineage: Eukaryota; Metazoa; Chordata; Mammalia; Didelphimorphia; Didelphidae. The record is from RNAcentral.
UGACAAUCUCCACGCCACCUCCAUCAUGGUAAACGUGGCUUCCUACUACCUAGCCCUCCUCCUGAUUCACUUCUUUAAGGGAGCUCAAGAUCUCUACACGGAGGUGGUGACUGAGGCAGGCAAGAGAGGUCUCCAGCUCCUCAAGCAAGACGAGUCUCAGAUGGCAGAGGACAGCUCUGCCAUCCUUAACUUGGGAGUCUUCACCUCUGCCCUCCAUCCCAGCAGAGUGCCUUUGAGCCAGCGUUUUCCUGGGCCCAACAUUUCCAUCCUUCAAAAAUUUAUCUCCAACUUCAAAAUCCUCUUAGUGCACAUCAACAUCAAAGAAGGAAUCAGAUACUGUUUCCUUGGGACCUCCAAAAGCCGGGGUACCAGAAUCCAACACAAGGAGAAAGAAAAGAAGAGUUUGCUGUUCCCUUCGAGAGAAGACAUAAUUCAUCAAAUUAAGAGCACCUUGGUCACCUUCUUCCUAUUCUAUAUCUAUAACACAUUUCUCUUUGUUCAGGUCAUAAAAUAAAUGGACCGUGUGUGAAUCAGAAAGAAAAAAGGUAGAAGUAUACUUGUAUUUUGUCAGUGCCUUUUCUAAUGUCCUAGGCAGCCACCUUUCCUUCUUUCUGCUCCCCUGCAUUCAGUUCUUCUGUCUUCCUUUCUUUUACAGGAUUUAAUAGUGAUUUUAAAAUACACUAGUGCAUGGUAUCAUAUUUAUAUUUGCCUACAUUUAAAAUGCUAGAUUUUUUCUUGUGUCAGUCAAGGUAAAUAAUGGAUAUAGAGAUAUUGGCAGUCAGCCUUGGAGAAAUUGAAUAUAUUCUUUGCCUCUUCUUGAUUGUUUAAUUUGGCUUCAUUGUUUAUUUCUAUCUUAGAACUCUGUGAUUAUGGAGGGAUGUUGAAUGAAGUUUCUGUGGACAGAUGAUUGGAUUCAUUUAGCUAGUGAUAUAAAAAAAGCAGAAUUCAAAGGGCACAAGUUUGGGGGACAAGGAAUAGGAAAAUAAAUAUUGCCAAUGUUUUUUUUUUCUAGUUGGA